This is a non-coding RNA of Pelobates cultripes (western spadefoot toad), 333 nucleotides long. NCBI's taxonomy places the organism in Eukaryota, Metazoa, Chordata, Amphibia, Anura, Pelobatidae. The record is from the annotation of a GenBank genome assembly.
CUAAUUUGUUGUCUAUAACAAUUCCCAAAUCCUUCUCGUGUGUGGUUAUCCCUAAUUCACUACCAUUUAGUGUGUAAGUUGCUUGUGCAUUCUUAACCCCGAAGUGCAUAACUUUGCAUUUCUCUAUGUUAAAUUUCAUCUGCCAUUUUAGUGCCCAGUGGAGAAUUUUGCUAAACAUUUAUUAUUUAUGUGCAAAAAGUAUAAAGAUUUGAUCAAGCAAAAAUACAACAUACUAAUGAGGCCAUAAUAUAUCUUUCACACUUUAAAAUUGUAUUGAUGCCUGAGUGUCACUUUAAGUAGCUUAUAACUAAGUGGAGCGAAUCUCGUUUAACC